Cordylochernes scorpioides is the source of this 73-nucleotide non-coding RNA. Lineage: Eukaryota; Metazoa; Arthropoda; Arachnida; Pseudoscorpiones; Chernetidae. The record is from the annotation of a GenBank genome assembly.
GUCCAGGGAUGGGAAUCGAACCCACAGUGUUCCGCUUACUGGGCAGAUGCCAUGUCCACUAAGCUACCCUGGA